CGUAAUUCAUUGUGCUCUCUCAUCAACCAGACCUCGAACAAACCCAAAGAACGCAAGACCACAAAGGCUUGUGCCAUUAAGUCUAAUCUUCAGCGAUGAGAGCGUCACGUUCAUGGUUUUAAACAGAUUGGUGCGGUUGUGUUCAUCACAGAUUUGUAGCUAAUAAUCGAGUUCCAGCCGGAUUUAUUGAAUGCGUUCUUUUCAUGUGUUGCUUGUGUGUGAAGAGUGAACGCGCUUUAUUAAAAUGCGCCACAUUUGUUUUGCUACUUAAUGCAAACUCGUAGCAGCAUUUAUCUUUCUGAAGGAGAAAGUGUCGUUCAGUUGUGAAGGAAACAGGAGCUGUUUGUGCUCUGACCACUAAGCAAAGCAUGCAGGGUGACACCAGUAGUCAUUGUAAAAUAACAUUUCUCCUGCUUAGCGUGCAAUAGCCUACUUGAUUCAAGCAAAAAAAAGCUGUAAAAACAAGAAGACAGGAAAAAAUGGAGGAGACACAAUCCAGUGAAUCACGAGAGGAAAGAGGACAGAUGCUUGUCAGAUGCGAGAGUAUGGAGAGACUAAAGCCAACCUUCUCCUGUGAUCCAGACGGGCCUGUAAAGAGUGAUUCAGUCAAAACUGAGGAGAGAUUCUCAUCAAACCCUUCAUCAUCAUCAUCUUCAUCACCAUUGUAACGACUGAGACCAUCAGACACUAAAGCCCACUGUAAAGAGAGCAGAAAAGGCCUCAAUCGUCCGGCGCCCGUCAGAUAAGAUGGUUUUAUUGGAGAAUGUGGUCAUGUGAUCAGACCGAGGCCAUGGGAAAGACAGAAACACAUCUUAAACAGACUUUCCUGCAGUAAUGUAGAAGAACUGAUCUAUAAAUGAACUGAAAGCUUCACUUUCAAACAGAAUUACUGACUAAUUCUACAAUAUGUGUUUAAUACAUGUGGUUAACAAACGAAUAAAAAUGUUUUUAUUUGGUA
Pimephales promelas (fathead minnow) is the source of this 958-nucleotide non-coding RNA. NCBI's taxonomy places the organism in Eukaryota, Metazoa, Chordata, Actinopteri, Cypriniformes, Leuciscidae. The record is from RefSeq and is a predicted model, not a curated record.